Molecule: long non-coding RNA, 498 nt
Organism: Tympanuchus pallidicinctus (lesser prairie-chicken)
Lineage: Eukaryota; Metazoa; Chordata; Aves; Galliformes; Phasianidae
Exons: 2
Source: RefSeq, a predicted model, not a curated record
UUCCUUCUCCAUUUCUCAUUCGUCUUUGUCACACAUGCAGCUGAACACACAAGCUCUAUGAAGGAGUGAAAGCCAGCACACAGGUGGCACCAAGUUUUGGUGCCAGCUUUAUGUUCGUUUCUCUCUGCUUGUGGAAAAGGAAGCUUCUAUGGGGGAUGUAUCCAGGAGUACAGUUACAGUGAUUCUCUUCUGAGGACAAAUCACGUUGUUUCUGAUGAGGAAGAAUGGAAGGCAACUCAAUUGUUAGUGCUUUUUCUUUUUUCUUUCUUUGUCUGGAUUUGCUCAGAACGUGGCUUAGCUUUGCUGGGUGUUCUAAAAAAGAUUUGCAAAGUCAAAUUCUGACAACGACGUGCUGUGCAACUCCAGUGCCGCUGUUAACGUUGAUGUAAUUGUAUUAAUAAUACCAUGCACUGAGGAUACUUUGGUUGUGACCAUAGACCUCAGUUAAUAUGUAAACUCCAAGGUUGGUUUAAUAAAGCUGGUGGUCCUUUACAAAUA